GCUUCAGCCGUCUCCGACUCUGUUCAACUCCAUAGACGUCAGUCCGCCAGGCUCCCUCAUCCCUGGGAUUCUCCAGCCUCUCCACAGAAAUACAAAAGACGUGGCUUCUAAAGAAGUACUAUUGGCUUAAGUCUAGAUCCCGAGUAGAUCUUGUGGUUAGAGAAGCAAAAAGAAGAGAAAAAAACUGCAUGAGUGAAAUUUCCUGGUAAUUCUGACCUGGGCUUCGCUUUGGAUGAGCCAGGUGGAGGAACGGGUGAGAAGCUGUCUGAAGAGUGAACUUGGGAAGGAGACAGUGGAGGACAGCCGACCUCUAAGGUCGCGUGAUCCCCCCAACACCUCGAUGUGCUGAACCUGGACAGAUGUCCCUGUAGGACAGACGUACCU
Long non-coding RNA from Bos taurus (domestic cattle), 384 nucleotides. Lineage: Eukaryota; Metazoa; Chordata; Mammalia; Artiodactyla; Bovidae. The record is from Ensembl.